UACGAAGGGGGCGAGCGUUGUUCGGAUUUACUGGGCGUAAAGGGCGCGUAGGCGGCCCUCUUUGUCGCGUGUGAAAGCCCCGGGCUCAACCUGGGAAUGGCGCGCGAAACGGGGGGGCUUGAGUUCGGGAGAGGAGCGUGGAAUUCCCAGUGUAGAGGUGAAAUUCGUAGAUAUUGGGAAGAACACCGGUGGCGAAGGCGGCGACCUGGGUAGAUACUGACGCUGAGGUGCGAAAGCGUGGGGAGCAAACAGG
This 253-nucleotide ribosomal RNA is filed under the name uncultured bacterium. Its description in RNAcentral is "partial 16S ribosomal RNA". It matches the Rfam family "Bacterial small subunit ribosomal RNA", at positions 524 to 776 of the family's 1533-position model. The record is from RNAcentral.